Non-coding RNA from Acanthosepion pharaonis, 105 nucleotides. The record is from the annotation of a GenBank genome assembly. Lineage: Eukaryota; Metazoa; Mollusca; Cephalopoda; Sepiida; Sepiidae.
UAUGGCCAUAUCACAUUGAAACAUCAAUUCCCAUACGAUCACCGAAGUUAAGCAACGUCGUGUUUGAUCGGUACUUAGAUUGGAGACCGAUUUGGAUGUGCCGAU